CUCCCUUAGCUGAUCCCAUCCACAAUUUAUCUAAUAAAGGACGGUGGUGAUGUCCUACUGCCCAGCACCACAGGCUACAUCGAUGAUGAUGACUUACAUCGAUGUGAGGUCUGUGGGGAUGAGGAGCGGUCUGAAGCGGUUCCUGUUCCUCCUGCAAGACAGCCAGCCUUCACCUUUAUGACAAGACCAUCUACAUCCACCGGACAUGCUGGGCCCCCUACCCCACGUCCUGCCAAACUUUUCACCAGGAAUAUAUUACUUGGAAGGGUGGAAAGAGGCAGCCUGACGAUAGAUGGUGCCUCACUCAUUGUGGAGUUCAGCCUGGCUGAUGCCACAAUUCCAGCAAUGUCUGAAAAAGUGAGGAGGGAGCUGAGGAGCGAUAUGGAC
Molecule: long non-coding RNA, 387 nt
Organism: Melanotaenia boesemani (Boeseman's rainbowfish)
Lineage: Eukaryota; Metazoa; Chordata; Actinopteri; Atheriniformes; Melanotaeniidae
Exons: 3
Source: RefSeq, a predicted model, not a curated record